Molecule: ribosomal RNA, 446 nt
Filed under: uncultured bacterium
Lineage: Bacteria
Description: bacterial SSU rRNA
Rfam family: Bacterial small subunit ribosomal RNA
Source: RNAcentral
CCAGACUCCUACGGGAGGCAGCAGUGGGGAAUAUUGCACAAUGGGGGAAACCCUGAUGCAGCGACGCCGCGUGAGUGAAGAAGUAAUUCGUUAUGUAAAGCUCUAUCAGCAGGGAAGAAAAUGACGGUACCUGAGUAAGAAGCCCCGGCUAACUACGUGCCAGCAGCCGCGGUAAUACGUAGGGGGCAAGCGUUAUCCGGAUUUACUGGGUGUAAAGGGAGCGUAGACGGCAGUGCAAGUCUGGAGUGAAAGGCGGGGGCUCAACCCCCGGACUGCUCUGGAAACUGUGCUGCUGGAGUGCAGGAGAGGCAAGUGGAAUUCCUAGUGUAGCGGUGAAAUGCGUAGAUAUUAGGAGGAACACCAGUGGCGAAGGCGGCUUGCUGGACUGUAACUGACGUUGAGGCUCGAAAGCGUGGGGAGCAAACAGGAUUAGAUACCCGCGUAGC